UAAUGGGUCAGCGACUUAUAUUCUGUAGCAAGGUUAACCGUAUAGGGGAGCCGAAGGGAAACCGAGUCUUAACUGGGCGUUAAGUUGCAGGGUAUAGACCCGAAACCCGGUGAUCUAGCCAUGGGCAGGUUGAAGGUUGGGUAACACUAACUGGAGGACCGAACCGACUAAUGUUGAAAAAUUAGCGGAUGACCUGUGGCUGGGGGUGAAAGGCCAAUCAAACCGGGAGAUAGCUGGUUCUCCCCGAAAGCUAUUUAGGUAGCGCCUCGUGAACUCAUCUUCGGGGGUAGAGCACUGUUUCGGCUAGGGGGCCAUCCCGGCUUACCAACCCGAUGCAAACUACGAAUACCGAAGAAUGUUAUCACGGGAGACACACGGCGGGUGCUAACGUCCGUCGUGAAGAGGGAAACAACCCAGACCGCCAGCUAAGGUCCCAAAGUCAUGGUUAAGUGGGAAACGAUGUGGGAAGGCACAGACAGCCAGGAUGUUGGCUUAGAAGCAGCCAUCAUUUAAAGAAAGCGUAAUAGCUCACUGGUCGAGUCGGCCUGCGCGGAAGAUGUAACGGGGCUAAACCAUG
RNAcentral lists this ribosomal RNA (577 nucleotides) under Enterobacter hormaechei. RNAcentral's name for it is "partial 23S ribosomal RNA". It matches the Rfam family "Bacterial large subunit ribosomal RNA", at positions 613 to 1191 of the family's 2925-position model. RNAcentral also lists the same sequence under 4 other names. Lineage: Bacteria; Pseudomonadati; Pseudomonadota; Gammaproteobacteria; Enterobacterales; Enterobacteriaceae. The record is from RNAcentral.